UGGGGAAUAUUGCACAAUGGGGGAAACCCUGAUGCAGCGACGCCGCGUGAACGAAGAAGGUAUUCGUAUCGUAAAGUUCUGUCCUAUGGGAAGAUAAUGACAGUACCAUAGAAGAAAGCUCCGGCUAAAUACGUGCCAGCAGCCGCGGUAAUACGUAUGGAGCGAGCGUUGUCCGGAAUUAUUGGGCGUAAAGGGUACGCAGGCGGUUUAAUAAGUCGAAUGUUAAAGAUCGGGGCUCAACCCCGCAAAGCAUUGGAAACUGAUAAACUUGAGUAGUGGAGAGGAAAGUGGAAUUCCUAGUGUAGUGGUGAAAUACGUAGAUAUUAGGAGGAAUACCAGUAGCGAAGGCGACUGUCUGGACACAAACUGACGCUGAGGUACGAAAGCGUGGGGAGCAAACAGG
This 403-nucleotide ribosomal RNA is filed under the name bacterium. RNAcentral describes it as "partial 16S ribosomal RNA". It matches the Rfam family "Bacterial small subunit ribosomal RNA", at positions 355 to 776 of the family's 1533-position model. The record is from RNAcentral.